This 506-nucleotide ribosomal RNA is filed under the name uncultured bacterium. Its description in RNAcentral is "partial 16S ribosomal RNA". It matches the Rfam family "Bacterial small subunit ribosomal RNA", at positions 29 to 523 of the family's 1533-position model. The record is from RNAcentral.
AGUGAACGCUGGCGGUAGGCCUAACACAUGCAAGUCGAACGGCAGCACAGCCGAGAUUGCUCUCCGGGUGGCGAGUGGCGGACGGGUGAGGAAUACAUCGGAAUCUACUUUUUCGUGGGGGAUAACGUAGGGAAACUUACGCUAAUACCGCAUACGACCUACGGGUGAAGGCAGGGGAUCUUCGGACCUUGCGCGAUUGAAUGGGCCGAUGUCGGUUUAGCAAGUUGGGGGUGUAAAAGCCACCCAAGGCGACGAUCCGGAGCUGGUCUGAGAGGAUGACCAGCCACACUGGAACUGGGACACUGUCCAGACUCCUACGGGAGGCAGCAGUGGGGAAUAUUGGACAAUGGGCGCAAGCCUGAUCCAGCCAUACCGCGUGGGUGAAGAAGGCCUUCGGGUUGUAAAGCCCUUUUGUUGGGAAAGAAAUCCAGCUGGUUAAUACCCGGUUGGGAUGACGGUACCCAAAGAAUAAGCACCGGCUAACUUCGUGCCAGCAGCCGCCGUAA